GAUGAACGCUGGCGGCGUGCCUAAUACAUGCAAGUCGAGCGAACAGACGAGGAGCUUGCUCCUCUGACGUUAGCGGCGGACGGGUGAGUAACACGUGGAUAACCUACCUAUAAGACUGGGAUAACUUCGGGAAACCGGAGCUAAUACCGGAUAAUAUAUUGAACCGCAUGGUUCAAUAGUGAAAGACGGUUUUGCUGUCACUUAUAGAUGGAUCCGCGCCGCAUUAGCUAGUUGGUAAGGUAACGGCUUACCAAGGCAACGAUGCGUAGCCGACCUGAGAGGGUGAUCGGCCACACUGGAACUGAGACGCGGUCCAGACUCCUACGGGAGGCAGCAGUAGGGAAUCUUCCGCAAUGGGCGAAAGCUUGACGGAGCAACGCCGCGUGAGUGAUGAAGGUCUUCGGAUCGUAAAACUCGGUUAUUAGGGAAGAACAAAUGUGUAAGUAACUAUGCACGUCUUGACGGUACCUAAUCAGAAAGCCACGGCUAACUACGUG
Molecule: ribosomal RNA, 497 nt
Filed under: uncultured bacterium
Lineage: Bacteria
Description: partial 16S ribosomal RNA
Rfam family: Bacterial small subunit ribosomal RNA
Source: RNAcentral